GGCCAGACUCCUACGGGAGGCAGCAGUGAGGAAUAUUGGUCAAUGGCCGGAAGGCUGAACCAGCCAAGUCGCGUGAGGGAAUAAGGCCCUAUGGGUCGUAAACCUCUUUUGUCAGGGAGCAAAGGCGUCCACGUGUGGACGAGAGGAGAGUACCUGAAGAAAAAGCAUCGGCUAACUCCGUGCCAGCAGCCGCGGUAAUACGGAGGAUGCGAGCGUUAUCCGGAUUUAUUGGGUUUAAAGGGUGCGUAGGCGGAAUGCCAAGUCAGGGGUAAAUUUGCGGGGCUCACCCUCUUCGAGCCGUUGAAACUGGGUGCCUUGAGUGGGCGAGAAGUACGCGGAAUGCGUGGUGUAGCGGUGAAAUGCAUAGAUAUCACGCAGAACUCCGAUUGCGAAGGCAGCGUACCGGCGCCCAACUGACGCUGAAGCACGAAGGCGUGGGUAUCGAACAGGAUUAGAUACCCCUGUA
This 466-nucleotide ribosomal RNA is filed under the name uncultured bacterium. RNAcentral's name for it is "bacterial SSU rRNA". It matches the Rfam family "Bacterial small subunit ribosomal RNA", at positions 329 to 792 of the family's 1533-position model. The record is from RNAcentral.